Molecule: long non-coding RNA, 4832 nt
Filed under: Zea mays
Lineage: Eukaryota; Viridiplantae; Streptophyta; Magnoliopsida; Poales; Poaceae
Description: long non-coding RNA (ZMAY_LNC000667)
Source: RNAcentral
AGGACAUCCAGGAGUUCGGGUACAACCGCGUGACAGGGUUCAUGUGGCUGGUGCAGGGGAAGAAGAAGGUGGAGCACACCUUCAAAAAGAUCAAGCAGACCGUAUCGUAUGCCGCUGAGGUGACGGCAUUCGCCGAGAAGGGCAAGCUGAGGAAGAUCACCGGCGUGAAGACAAAGGAGCUGAUGUUCUGGCUCAGCGUCGUCGAGGUGUACGUCCCCGAGGCCUCGCUAGAGAAGGUUACCUUCAAGACUGGCACUGGCCUAUCCGACACCUUCGAUGCCUCUGCCUUUGCGCUGGGAGAGUAAUUACUCAUAAAAAUGGUUGGCUUCAAAAGACAUGCAUAAUCUAUCUUUUGUAUUUGUAAAUUUUUCAUAUAUCUUGAGACGAGUUUGUGGUACUCAUGGGCGAUGCCCAUUGAAACAUUUCUAUGUACUAGGUCAGUACCCGUGCGUUGCAACGGGAACAUAUAAUAUCAUGAUAACUUAUAUACAAAAUGUGUCUUAUAUUGUUAUAAGAAAAUAUUUCAUAAUCCAUUUGUGAUCCUAGUCAUACCUAAAUUUUGUUAUUUUAAUUUAAUUGUUUCACUACUACAUUGCAACCAUCAGUAUCAUGCAGACUUCAAUAUAUGUCAUGAUUUGCAUGGUCUCAUUAUUGGAGAGCACGUGCCACACCUGCCGGUAGAAGUUCCGUCGUACAUCGUUAGUCAUCAGGCACGCACCAUCAUACACGCUUGCUUAAACAAAAAAUGCAAGUGUGUGUUUGCGAAGAGAAUUAAAGGCAGGCCGACACAAAAGGUACCCCGACGAUGGCGAGUGGUCAUUGUUGUCGGUCCACCUCUGCUCACCUCCGGUGUCGAGAUGACACCACAAUCCUUGAUAUAAUAGUCGUCGAACGCGCGCGAUAUGGUGAGUACCGAUCACUCUUGGUUGAGCUGCCAAAUGAAGUGCACCCCGGGCUCAUUAGCGAGGUAGUACACCUGGUCGUUGCACCACCGGAUGUGCUACUACUCUACAUACAUCUUGUUCGAGAACACUCACACAACAACAACAAUGGUCAUCAUUCCAGCGCACAAGAAUUCAUGGUCGGUCAGUAGCGACUUACGUGGCAGGUUAGACUUCAGGUGGAUGAUGAGCUAGACGGCGUGAUGGCGUCGUCGUAGGUUGCGAUGCCCAGAACAACCCGAGAGUCGUCGACAUUGGCGACGACCAUGAGGUCCCUAUGUUUGACGAUGGACAGCGCUGUGCAGCCGCUCUGGACCACGUCCAAGCAGCGGCUGCACCGGAGCUUGCCGUACACAGCGGCGCAUGGGCCAUGUAGGACUGCUUCCAGAGUUCGAACUGGCAGGCGCCAAGUUUCUUCUCGUCGUCGGUGAGCGACGCCAACGCGAGCGCCUCGUGCUAGUGGUGUUUGUUCGGGGUUUCCAAGUAAGAAACAUGGAUUCAUCUUUGGCAUUGGUUUAUGAAAAUGAUUUAUAAGUUAGAUCCAUGGAAAAAUAUUAUGGAGAAUAAAUGUUACACAUGCAAAAAAAGUAUUUAAGUUGAAAACAUUAUUCAAACAAAAAAAAUUGCAUGCAAGGCUCUUCUUUAAAUACUACUCUCUCAAUCCAAAAAUAUAAUUUAAUAAUCUCGGUGAUACUUAUCUACUACUACACAUUGUGCAAUGGUAGUAGGUGGGCUUCGGGAGAGAUGUAUUAUAUGUUUUUACUAUAAUAGAUAUAGACAUAAACACACAUGUGGUGUAGUGGUAGCUACAAACACAUUUAUUUGAGAGGUCGUGGGUUCGAAUCCCCUUGGAGCCUGUUUUUUUAAUUUAAUUUUAGCUAGGCGUGGGAUGCACGUGAGAAUGAGAAUAGGCUUUGUGGGAGGGGGAAUGAGAAAGACUGAGAAAGACAGGCAGCUGAGAAUGAGAAUGGGCUUUGCAGUGAGGACGAAAUGGGAAUGGCAGAACACGGAAUGUGGCAGCCUACCUCUUACCGUCUUAAUAGGUAGUAGAGAUUUUCUUAUUUAUCAGAUAGUUUUUUCUAAAUAUCUCACUUCAAAACAUUAAAAAUAAAUGUCCUCGUAGUCAUAGAUGAGUUCUUAUAUUGGAGCAGAUGGCUUUGUAUUUAUAACGGGGCUUAUGUCCUUCGUAUUUAUUACGAAGGGUAAUAUUGUGUUCAAAAGUUGCCAGUACAGCUACAUCUAAGGCCAGAUACAUACUUGCAAGUACUAUAAAGUGUGUGAGGCUACAACACUUACCAACUAUGCUGGAUAUGAUAACGUAGGAUAUUAAUAUAGUUAAGCUUGAGGCAGUAGGUGUACUGUGAGUACUAUGCAGUGUGUGCACCUAUAGCAACUACCAACGACCCUUACGAUACAACAACUACGUUAAAAUUGGAGUAGCUAGACUUUUGGUGGGUGAAACCCGCCAUUGCCAUCGAUGCACGAAUGUAACUCUCCUCUCCCUUGUGCUAUAAAGAGUCGUAGAGGAACGUAGAAACAAGACAUGUCUGUAUUUAGGUUACAAAGGUUGCAUCCAAGUGUCAUGAUCAGAGCUGAAAAUACACUAGAGUCACAACUUGCAAGGUCUACUAUAGGUUGCAGCCGCCAAAGUCUAGAAGUGCAUAUGUUUCUAGUUCCUCUCGGUAGCUCGGUUAUCAACUAAAUAUGUAAGAUCUUUAGUAUUUGCAUCUAUACAUCUACCAUAAAAGAUUUAGGGUAUUACCCUUUGGUGGCCUAAAACUAUUUAUAUGAUACAUGUGGAAAUUGUCGUGAUGGCGUUCUAUUGCUACACCUUCGUCUAUGAUUUUCUUUGGUACCUUUGGUACCAUGGUGUCGCAUCCCAAUCAUAGUAGCCAUCUGAUCCAAUUAAAUAAUCGGCUCACAAUCAUUUGGGUGUACCACAACAAAGAAGCUAUGUCAAGGUCAAAGCAUACAAGAUUUGCUAAAGGGGAGAGGUUUUGAAACAAAAUGCCAACAUCUAACCUAUUAAUUGCCAUAGCACUGAAGCUGGGCAAAGAUUUUUUUUAAUGUCUGAUUCGCACUCUCUAACUCUUCAAGUCACAGUCUAGCCUGUUCGCUUGGCUUUAAUAUGUAUCGUCUUUUACUAUUUUUACAGUGUUUUUAUCUCUAUGGCUGCAUCAUUGUUGUCUCCUGGCAAAGGCUAAAACCAAUGUUUUUCAGUUAAAAAAGCUUCCAAUGCAUAUUUCUGCUUAUGUGCAUUUUAGACCACGCAUCCUGUAUUCCUGUUGCGUACAAAGGAACGCUUAUCAUUCAAGUUCAUGUACUAGUACAGGAUGUUUGCCGUCUUUUCAUGCAUGACGCUUAUAAAUGACUGCUAAGGCCUUGUUCGUUUCCAUCGGAUUGCACCCGGAAUCGUUCCAGCUAAUCAAAGUUUAUAUAAAUUAGAGAAACAAUCCAGUCAGGAAUUAUUCGGACCCACCAAUCCGAUAGAAACGAACAAGGCCUAAAACUGCAUGGGCUUCUUUAUCUGAAACUGUAGUUUUAUUAUCGCUGUUUGCAUAGUCAACAGCAUCCAAACAUUACAGAUAAUCUACCAUAAUAGGUAUGCAACUUUCUUAGGAAAAAAUGGCAGGUGCUCUGCCUUGUCAUUUAAGCAGGGAACGGAUAUUUACGUAGAGGGUUAUCACAUCACAUCAAACUGAUGCAGUUCUCAACAAAUAAAAGAAAAAAAAGGGACAGAAACGGCAGACCACAACAUGUCUGCGAUCUGCCCAUGCAUCAAGUGGUGAAAGUGAGUAUUGUCAAUCGCCCGUUGCGUUCUAGAGUCAGGUGAAGUGUCGCUUCGCGUUCGACAUUGCAGAGCCUACAGGUCUUGUUGGUACCCAGCCGCUUUUGAUUACUCCCUCCGUUUCUUUUUAUUUGUCGCCGAGUAGUUUAAAUUUGUACUAACGGACGACAUAUAUUAAGGAACGGAGGGAGUAUUUAGCUGCCGUGAGCAGCUUGUGUUGCAGUGCUAACCGUGGAUAAAAUUACUUUUUUACACCUUCGUUUUCCAAACUGAGUUCCAGUUGAAGGUGAUUCAGCAAGUAUGGGGGGAUUUUCUGAAGAAUGCUAUCAACUCUAGUUCAGUCAUAAGGGAGAAUGUGAUUCAGUAGAGUAAGAGUAUGCUUUGUUUGACCUCUCUACUGAAUUGUUCUAUUUUUGUUGGCUGGACUCCAGUGAUUCAUUCUGAUCCCAAAAUUCAGGAGCGACAAUCUUGACUUCGUUUGUCACAAAAGAAAUUCAGGUGUGGCAAUGUGGACUUUGUCAAAUUCGACGCUCUCUGCCAACGAAGUCAAAUAGGACUGCCCGCCCCGCGUUGCUUCUCUAUAGAAGCUGCAUGCCUAUAAAGAUGUGUUGCAGCUCCUUCUCCCAUCACACAAACAUUUCAUCGCCUCCUAAUUCCUAAAGCAGCAUCGGCUACUAGCCUACUACUACUGUCUCUUGCUCACACAGCUCGUCUGUGCAGCACAUAGCUAGUGAACGAAAACGACCAUGGCGUCCCAGGCCAUCGAGAGCCACCGUGCAGGCGCUGAGGUCGUCAAUGGAGGAGACGCCAUCUGCAGGAAGAAGUCAAUCGAGCUGCUGGAGGAGCUCGGCCUCCCCAAGGGCUUCUUGCCCCUCGAGGACAUCCAGGAGUUCGGGUACAACCGCGAGACAGGAUUCAUGUGGCUAGUGCAGGGGAAGAAGAAGGUGGAGGCGUGGAGCACACAUUCAAGAAGAUCAAGCAGACCGUGUCGUACGCCGCUGAAGUGACGGCAUUCGCGGAGAAGGGCAAGCUGAGGAAGAUCACCGGCGUGAAGACAAAGGAGCUGAUGAUCUGGCUUAGCGUCGUCGAGGUCUACGUCCCCG